AGAUUUGAACCUGUAUGUUUUCAGGGCAGGAGAAUUUGACAUGGGGAAAUCUACCAUGAGGCUUCUCUGUACUUCACUUUCUCUUACCAUGGUUUGCUGGCUAGCUGAAGGUACCUUGUCAAAAACAGAUGCAAAGAAAGGUGCUACAAAAAAAAUGGAAGAAAAGAUGCUGCAUUCUGAUAAAAAUGUGCAGGACCGAGGACUGGUAGUUGUGGAUCCAAAGGCAAAGGAUAUUAUAGUGGAACACAGAAGUUACUGCUCCAAGAAGAUGAAGGAAAGACAUUUCUCAGGAGAUGUUUUGGGAUAUGUUACUCCUUGGAACAGCCAUGGCUAUGACAUUGCUAAAAUAUUUGGAAACAAAUUUACACUAAUCUCACCAGUCUGGUUACAAGUGAAAAGAAGAGGAAAGGAAAGGUUCCAGUUCACUGGGCUCCACGAUGCUGAUAAAGACUGGAUGAAAGAUGUCAGAAAGAACUCCAAAACCAUCAGAAUAGUGCCUCGAAUUUUGUUUGAUGGAUGGACUUACCAGGACUUUGAGAGUAUUUUUGGCAGUGAAGAUGAGAUAGAAGAGCUUUCCAAGAACAUGGUUCUGCUAGCCAAGAAUGAAAAUUUUGAUGGUUUUGUAGUUGAAGUUUGGAGUCAGCUGGGAAAUCAGAAGCAAACGGAGUUGAUUCACUUGCUCAUUCACCUUUCUGAAGCUCUGCAUGAAGCACAACUCAAACUCAUACUGGUCAUCCCUCCUGCAGUUGCAGCAGGGACCCUCUUGAAAGGGAAUGAAAGAAACCAAAGUGUUUCUCACAGGACUAACCAGCCAGGAAUGUUCACAAAGAAAGAAUUUGAUCAGUUGGCCUCUGCAAUAGACAGCUUCAGUCUCAUGACAUACGACUAUUCGACACCACAACGACCUGGUCCAAAUUCCCCUCUUCCCUGGGUACGAGCCUGUGUUCAAGUACUGGAUCCUGAUUCAAAAUGGAGAAAUAAAAUACUUCUAGGUCUGAAUUUCUAUGGCAUGGACUAUUCUGCUUUGGGAGCCUCUGGGCAGCCAAUCCUUGGUAGCAGAUUCACAAUGGGUCAUAAAGCAGCAGAGACAACUCGCAACAUCAACAAUGCAUUUGGCCCAGGAACUGCUGAUGAAUGUCAGUGGUGGUUCAAGAAAUUUCACGAAGGAGACAAGAGCCUUGGAGAUGAGGAGUGUAGUGGCGGCCAUCAGAAGUUCACAGCAACCAGUUGAGAGUAAUCAUUGAAGCUGAUCCUCUUGCAACUAUGUGAGAAGUUGAUGAAGAACUCAACGUCAACCAUUCUGUGGUCAUUUUGCAUUUCAAGCAAAUUGGAAAAAAAAGUGGGUACCUCACGAGCUGACUGAAAAUGAAAAAAAAAUUGUCAUUUUGAAGUGUCAUCUUCUCUUAUACUACAGAGCAACAAUGAACUAUUUCUUUUUUGGAUUGUGACGUGCAACAAAAAGUGGAUUUUAUAUGACUACCAGUGACGACCAACUCAAUGGUUGUACCAAGAAGAAGCUCCAAAGCAUUUCACAAAGGCAAACUUGCACCAAAAAAAGGUUAUGGUCACUGUUUUGGUGGUCUGCUGCUGGUCUGAUCCACUCCAGCUUUCUGAAUCCUGGAGAAACCAUUACAUCUGAGAAGUCUGCUCAGCAGAUUGAUGAGAUGCACCAAAAACUGCAACACCUGCAACCAGCAUUGGUCAACAGAAAGGGCCCAAUUCUUCUCCACAACAGCACCCAACCGCAUGUCACACAACCAAUGCUUCAAAGGUUGAACGAAUUGAGCUACGAAGUUUUGCCUCAUCCACCUUAUUCACCUGACCUCUUGCCAACUGACUACCACUUCUUCAAGCAUCUCGACAACUUUUUGCAGGGAAAAUGCUUCCACAACCAGCAGGAUGCAGAAAAUGCUUUCCAAGAGUUCAUCAAAUCCCAAAGCAUGGAUUUUCACACUGCAGGAAUAAACAAACUUAAUUCUUGUUGACAAAAACAUGUUGAUUGAAAUGGUUCCUAUUUUGAUUAAUAAAUAUGUGUUUAAGCCUAGUUACAAUGAUUUAAAAUUCAUGGUCCAAAACCGCAAUUAUUUUUGCACCAACCUAAUAGCAUGCAAGGGUAUUGCAAAGCUGGUGGCAGCGAUGUUGCACAAAGAUUCAGUGGUGAUGGUGCUGUCCUAAUAAGUAGCACAUCAAGGCUUUCUAAAGUGGAAAGGGAUUUCAGUAAUGUCAAAGUUAAGUGCCUGACAAAUAAAAGUGUUUGGGGCACAGGUAAUAACUGGUAUAAUGUAACUUCAUCUCUUACCAAGUGUACUGAGCCUCUUUGAUUGAUAAAUUGAAAAAUACCAGCUUGACUGUUUUCAGUUAAAUGAAAGUGUAGUUUUGCAUUUAAAAAAGGAAACAAGCAAACAAAAACCCCGAAACUGUUGUAGUGCUACAGACUAAAAAAUACUGAUUCAGACUUGUUGAUUCAUGUGAGGUUGGCUGAUUUCAUGAACAGAUCAUGCAAGUUUAGCUGCCUUUUAGAUCAAGGUGAUUAGAUGAUUUGUGAGGCUGUAUAAUAAACUUCUGGGUAAUCUGGAGGUUUAUACAGUGACUGAAUUAACUUUUUAAAAUAUAUACACAUUUUAUGUUGAUAGCCAUAACAGUGAUCUUUCUCACACUGUAAUAUUUUACAAUUAGUUACUAUUUAGCACCCAAAUAUCAUACCUUGAACUUUCAUUCUAGGUGCUACUAGACUGAUACAUGGAGAAUUUUCUGUAACAUGCUGACAAAAUCAGUAUUGAUUGUCUCUGUAUUCAGUUUUUUUAUUUCACUAACGUUUCUAACUAAAUAGAUCUGAAAUCUACUAUCAUGACUAAAAGGACUCUUCACAAGAGGUUGAAUGAAUUCUAUUUCCUGGGCUCAGUUUGUCAUGAUGUUGAGAAGUUGUAAAGGUGCCAGUGAGGUUAAUGAUUAUCUUAAGUAGCAUGAUAAGCAUUUUAUAGGAAGAACAUUGUCAGUCACACAGUGUGUAGCACUUUAUUUAUUCUUCACUAGAUGAAGAUUGGUACUAUUAAGUAAUUUCUUGUAUCAGGAGCUAAUAGCAAAAAAAGUUAUUCCAAAACACAUGGAUUCUUCCUCUUGCCUAGUUGUAUUGAAUGCAGGGUUACUUUUUGUACCAGCCAACAGUGCUAUAUGCGUUAAAUUUGAGACAUACUAUUUCCAGUUUCAGAUAGUCACUGGGAAGAGCUGCUUAUAAUGGGUCAAGUUCUUGAUAAAAGACUGUAUGAACAGCCAGCUUGUGUGUGAAACAGCUAUAUAUUUUUAGGUGAGAACUAUCAGUCAAUCAGUCAAAACAAAAUCUUGAUGCAUUUGAUUGCAUAUUCAUACUGGCUUGUGAUUUUGUUCAUGGUUGGACUUGAUGAUCCUGAGGGUCUCUUCCAAUCGAAACGAUUCUGUGAUCCUAUGAAUCCUGUUACACCUUGCAGUUCUUUGCAUUAAAAGAAAAUGGUAGCCUUUUAAAACCUACAGUGAUAUGAAAAGUUUUCUUAAUCAGCCCAGCUGGACUUACUCAGUACUCUGCAGACAGUCUGUCAUUAACCAACAUGUAGGGUUUAUUGAAGUACAACUGAAAACAUAAAGCAUAAACCCAGUACUCACAUCUUCAUCUGGUAUUAACAGAUAGUAUUAGAAGAAGUUCAGUAUGUUUUUUUUGUAAGACUUGCUGACUGCUACUUUAGAAUAAAAUUUUCUCUGCCUGAUUUCCUACUUGGCAAAACUUGCUCUUAAGAAAUUUGACUUAAAAGUUGAAGUUUGACAAAACCAUGAUUCUGAAGCAUAUCAUAAGGCUGGCUGUUCUGUCUCAAGAUGCCACUUGUGAGGAUCCUUGGUUUUAGGUUUCUGUUUCCUGAUAGAAGGUAUUGGAAAUCACAAAGCUCUAAGAGUUUUUCCCCUAAAAGCACAGGUGAUAGACUGCAUUGUAACCCGCAGAGUCAGUGGCUGCAUGCUCUGCUCUGAGCUUAUCCAUAGCCUUGGUUGCAUUGCAGGCAUAUCCUCUUUACUCUGUCUUAGAAUAAAAAUCUUUCAGUGGAAUUUAUGUAUUUUUCUUAAUUUUUGUUCUCUUUCAGAUUUUACCACAAAGCAAAUAGAUAUUUUCUGAAUAUGGCCUUGUUGUAUAGCUGUACAUCUUCUGUGACCUAUUCUUUGGCAUAAUGAAUGCUCUGUUGACCAUCAUAUUGCUUAAGAAUUUAUUUAUGAUUUGCAUCCUAGUACUGAUGAGCUGAGACUCAAUUUUUUUUAAAUCUUUGCAUAUCUGUGAAUAUCCAGAACACUUAUAAGACAUGGAAACACAGCACAAAGAGGAAAGAAGUUUCAAGAUACAGAAUCAUAGAAAGUCCUGAGUUGAAAGGGACCCACAGAAAUCACUGAGUCCUACUCCUGUCCCUGCACAUGACAACCCCUCAGUUCACACCAUGUGUCUGAAGGCGUUGUUCAAUUGCUUCAUGAAUACUGCCAGGCUUGGGGCCGUGACAUCUCCCUGGGGAGCCCGUUCCAGUGCUCCACUCCCCUCUGAGUGAAGAACCUUUUCUUGAUGUCCAACCUAAACCUCUCCUGGCACAUCUUCCUGCCAUUCCCUUGGGUUCUGUCAUUGGUCGCCAGAGAAAAGAGAUCGGCACCUUACCUUUCCUCCUCCCCUUGUGAGGAAGUUUUAGGCCGCAAUGGGGUCUCCCCUCAUUCUCCUUUUCUCCAGGCUGAACAAAUGAAGUGACUGAUAUGGCUUCUCCUCCAAAACCUUCACCAACUUUGUAGCCCUCUUCUGGACACUCUCCAGUAGCUUUUAUAUAUGUUUGAUCUUAAUAUUUAUUGUGUAUACUGAUUCAAAUUCUCUUGCGCAACAUAUUUAUUUUUAGUUAUUUUUGCUGGAUAGUACAGAAGAUAUUGGUUGUCUAGAAUAACACAAAAGCUGUCAAAAAGUGGCCCAUGACAUUGGCGCUAUUCAUGGAAGGAAUUAGAUAUAGCCAUUGUCACAGCUUCUAGGAGCUUCAAGAGUUUCUGUUUAUCUAAAUAUGGAACUGAGAUCUAGGCAUGUGAAUUCACUCAAAUCUCAGAGAGGCAGAACUAUAGAGACUAUUCUGUUUCUGGUUUCUGAUACAUUGUAUCCGUGCAGAAUUAGUAUGGUAACGAUCUUUGUAAAUUUGUCCACAGUACUGAUGGAAUUCUGUGAAAUGAUGAGAAAAUAAGUGAGAGUGUAAGAGGGUCUGGAGUAGAAGCAGCAGCUCAGCACUGAGAAAUGAAUCUUUCUUUUUGUCUACAACUGACAGUACUAAUCAUAUUUCUAAUUAUUAGAUAUUUUCUUCUCUUGCCUUUCUAUCUAAGUUGGCUCAAAAAAUGCCUUUUUGAAGGGUAAGAAGUACUGGAAUACUACUGAAAAUUGAAUACUUAUGUUUAUUUGUAGAGAUGAUCUAAAGUAUUAUGUGUAAGACUCUAAAACAGUAAUAUGAAUUGCAGUUGACCUAGGUUUUUGUGACCUGAUAAGCUCAUACUGGCUUGCGUACCAUAAACUAUUGUUCUGUGUGAUUACCCUGUUAAACUGUUGUUAAAAUUCUUUGUUACUUCAUUCUUUAUUCAGAAGACUGUAGACUUAAGUAGCUUAAGAUACAUGUCAUGUACUUGUAAUGCAUUAAUUCACUUUCAGCAUCGGUCAAUGCUUAAUGUGUAAUUAGCAAGCAGAUUUAACAAUCUGCUAGGACAAUACUUCCCAUUGCGUAACUAUUGUGCUCAUAUCUCACAAAAUCCAGGGCAGAAGGAAGCCACAAGAGAAAGAUUGUCAUAUCUGCACUGUUGUUCAACAAGCAAAUAUAAUGUGUUGCUGGAUUUCAGGGCAGAAUAUUUGUGCAUCAUAUCAAUAUCAAGUUGAUAUUGGAAGGCAAAGUAAAACAGAAUAUGGUAUAUAUAAGACUGGCUUUAGAAUUUGAAUGCCAGGAAUGUGGAGCUGUGCUACAUAAGGGACAUACAGUUGUAAAAUGAACCUUAGAUGAUCUAUAGAAAUAACUGAAAUUAGAACCCUCUUUUAUGUGUGUCUCUAUUUAGCUCUUUUACAACACCCUUCAGCAGCAGGAAAAUUGGAAAGUCUGGAGAGACUUGUUGCUAGAACAUCCCCUGUCCCUUUAUCCAGCUUUUGUACAUUUAUAAGUAAAUUCACAGGCAUAACAAAGUGUUCUCAGCUGUUGUGCUACUGCUCUUUACUCAAAACAUUUAAAGAGGAGUAUUGUAGAAAUACCUACUUCAGAGCAGUGCUGAGGGCUUAAUCUAUUCAGGCAUGUAGUGUUUUAGUAUCUACAGAAGGAAUAGAUGAAUGAAUAAAUAAAUAUUCUAUUCAUUUACUUCUUAGGAAUUUCUGCAAGUAUAACCCUGUUUCAGAAGAAUACUUGGCCUGUGCACUUAGAAUCAUAUAUGUUGGAAAAGACCCAUAAGAUCAUUGACUCCAACUAUUAACCUAACACUGCCAAGUCCACCACUAAACCAUGACCCUAAGGGCCUCAUCUAUACAUCUUUUAAACACCUCCAGGGAUGGCAAUUCCACCACUUCCUUCGGCAGCCUGUUCCAAUGUUUGAGAAUCCUUUGGUGAAGUAUUUUUUCCUAAUACCCAAUGUAAAGCUCCCAUGGAACAACUUGAAGCCAUUUCCGCUCAUCCUAGUACUCGUUACUUGGGAAAAGAAACCAACACCCUCCAUGCUACAACCUCCUUUCAGGCAGUUGUAGACAGCGAUAAGGUCUCCCCUCAGCCUCCUUUUCUCCAGACUAAACAGCCCCAGUUCCCUCAGCUGCUCCUCAUAAGACUUGUGCUCCAGACCCCUCACCAGCUUCAUUGCUCUUCUCAGAACUCUCUUCAGCACCUCAAUGUCUUUCCUGUAGUGAGGGGCCCAAAACUGAACACAGUAUUCAAGGUGGGACCUCACCAGUGCUGAGUACAAGAGGAUGAUUGUUUCUGUUGUCCUGCUGGCCACGCUAUUCUUGGUACAAGCCAGGAUGCUGGUGGCCUUUUUGGCAACCUGGGCACACUGCUGGCUCAUACUCAGCUGGCUGUCAAUCAACACCCCCAGAUCCUUUUUGGCCAGGCAGCUUUCCAGCCACUCUUCCCUGAGCCUAUCACACUGCCUGGGGUUGUUGUGACCCAAGUGCAGGACCCGGCACUAGGCCUUGUUAAACCUCAUGCAGUUUGCCUCAGCCCAACCAUCCAGCUGGUCCAAAUCCCUCUAUAUGGCCUUCCUACCCUCCAGCAGAUCAACGCUCCCACCUGACUUGGUAUCAUCUGCAAACUUACUAAGGGUGCACUCAAUCCCUUAGUCCAGAUCAUUGACAAAGAUAUUGAACAGAACUGGCCCCAGUACUGAGCCCUAGGGAACAUGACUUGUGACUGGCUGCCAACUGGAUUUGGCUCGGUUCACCACAACUCUUGGGCCUGGCCAUCCAGCCAGUUCUUUACCCAGUGAAGAGUAUGUCUGUCCAAGCCAUGAGCUGCUAGUUUCUCCAGGAGAAUGCUGUGGAGAAUGGUGUCAAAGACUUCACAGAAGUCCAGGUAGACAACAUCCACAGUCUUUCCCUCGUGGACUAAGAAGGUCACCUUGUAAUAGAAAGAGAUCAGGUUAGUCAAGCAGGACCUGCAUUUUCAUAAACCCAUACUGAUGGGGAUCGUUCACCUGGUUAUCCUGUAAAGUGCCAUGUGAUGUCACUCAGGAUGAUCUGCCUCAUGAUCUUCACUGGCACUGAGGUCAGACUGACAGGCCUGUAAUUCCCCAGAUCCUCCUUCUGGCCCUUCUUGUAGAUGGGUUUCACAUUUGCUAACCUCUAGUCAACUGAGACCUCUCCAGUUAGCCAAGAUUGCUGAUAAAUGACAGAAAAUGGCUUGAUGAGCACUUCCACCAGCUUCUUUGUCUCCUUGGAUGGAUCGCAUCUGGCCUCAUAGACUUGUGUGUGUCUAAGUGGUGUAGCAGAUCACCAGCCUUUUCCCCUUGGAUAAUUAUGGCUUCAUUCUCCUCCCUGUCUCUGUCUUUCAGCUCAAGGGCUGGCUCUUCCCUGGUGAAAGACUGGGCACUGCCAUCCAGAACACAUAUUGAGAAGGUAGCUGUACUUGGUUAGUGUAGGUUUGAAACCAAAAUAUAUGCAGUAUUCAACAGAUUCUAACAAGCAAAAUCUUGAUCAUAUUCCUUACGUGUAUUGUCUUUCUGGGUUGCUCUCAGAACAGUGGAGGAUUUGAUACUCUCAUAUGGACAUCUGCAGUACAGCAUGGCAGUCAGCUGCUCAUAUGCAAUAGAUAAGAUCUGUUUUGUGAGCAAAAAAUACACUGUUGAUGUAUUUGAACACAAUUUUCAUAUUAAAAGCAAUUAGAGUAAUUUAUGGAGAAAACGAAAAGUUUCUGCACAUCAAACAUGAUCAUUUUGUCUCUUGGAAUGAAACUCAAAUAAAGCGACAUAAUAUCUAAUAAUAAUUGUGAAAUAUCAUCAUUAUUUUAAUUCCAGCUGGCCAAAUGUGUGGUUUCUCGAUAUUUUUCGGUGCAAAUACUUGCUGAGCCAUGUGAGGUUGUGAAACAGCUGCAACAAAGGCUCGAACAAAGAUACUGUAGUAAUCCCUAGUCACUGGCUUUCUGAGUUCACUACUUAUCAAAACAAGACACUUGAAAGGCUUUUAAUUUUUUAAUUUUCCCUACGUUUUGAACAUUCUUCUGACUCCAGCUGUAACCUAAUCUAGUUUUUCUUAUGGCACCUGUUAAGAAGUAAAAACUGCUGCAUUAUCAGAGAGUAAAAAAUGGCAAUAAGAGUCUCCUGUAAAAGGAAUAUCAGACAGGUGGUGCUCAGUAGAUGCUACUAUAUACACAGGAAGAAUCACAAGCUCACUGACAGCAGCAGCUGUAGCAGUUAGCCAAUUAAACAGUUUUUAUUGAUGAUCCGUGAUAGCUAAUAAACUUUUAACAAGCUAUAAAACACCCCAUGGAUCAAUCUUGUUAUUAAAAGGCUGGAUCAUAACCAGUACUUAUUAAUUCCAACUAACAUUAUUGUUUGGAAAUGGAAGGACUGAGUGGACUGUAUGCCAAAUGUAAGAGUGGAGACAUCAUUCCAAAUAAAUCCUGGUAGUUUAGGGAAUAUUUCUAAUUUACUUUAGCAGAUAAAGCAAUCAGUUUGAAAAUCAGGGCUUGGGGUCAUCUUUUUAGCUUUCCAUGUCAGUAAACCAAGGAUGAAACUUUCAGCUGUGGAGUCAUAGCACAAUCACAGAAAAGUUGAUGAAGAAAACCAAGAAGGUUUGAGGGGAUUGGGAGGUGUUAUCUAUAAUUCCAUAUGACACAAAACAAUCUUUAGGGGAAACACCAUUCAAAAACACAAGGCUUAAGUAACUUUGGUAACUACUUGUCUGGUACUAUGUCUGAUUGGCUUAAUGUUAUUUUUCUGAACCAAAAUGAUUAUUUAAUAUUACACACUGGCUGGUGGGGUUUGGUUGGUUGGUUGGGUUUGGUUUUUUGUUUUGUUUUAGUUGGUUGGUUGUUUUUUUAGGAUAAAUAAAAGACUUAUAGAGAGAUAUUUAAAAAUUAGGAAGUUGUAGGAAGUAAAAUGUUGACAGAUAAGAUACUGCUUAAAGUUUAAAAAUACCAUAUGUAUAAAGAACUCAAAAAGUAUUUAAUCAGUCUUAGUUUUAUAGGCUAAAUUCACAGGGAUCCCUAAAAUUCCGUAUGGGUGACUGAUACAAAGUGUAACUGUGAAUUCUUGAGAAGUUCUUGCCUAAUUUCCAAACAGUCUCAAAAUUAAUAAUUUACAUUUUUAAAAUUUCUGGUGUCACAUUUACUCGUGGUUAGUCCAGCACUGUUACUUCAGUGAUACCAUUACAGAAAUGUCAGUUCAGCUAAAAAUCAGGUUGUUUUUCAGGGCAGUUGCCAUGAUCCAUGUGUGUGCAUAUAUGUACAUCCACUUAUGUGCUUAAGAAUGGAAAAUAACUUUUCAUAGUUUAUGUCCUCUUUUUAGCCCUAUGCAUGAAAAGCACUUGCCUGAAGGUAACAUAAACCCCAUACAUUAAGAGUUCAAACAUUAGAUUCUUGCACAAAAAUGUAGGCUUCGUAUGUAAUGUAUGAUGCCUCUAAUAUAGACAUUUUUCAUGUCCUGGAGGAUUUUUCUUUGUCUUCCUCAUUGGUGCAGCAUUCUAAUGAAAAUUUUCUGCACUUAAACUGACAGUCUCUGAGUAUUUUUGUAAAUGUUUGCUUGAAGACUUUACAAAUAUUUAUUACAGUCUGCAAAUGUUUGGAUUUGGCACUAAAAAUAUUUGUAGGUAUAGCUACCAGAGGAAACACUCCAGGUUAAAGUAUGUGAAAGACACUGUUACAUAUAAAACACCUCACUAGAUAAGAAAUACUGCUACAAGAAAAGAAUCACACCAUUAUGACUGUUCCAGCAAAAACUUCACUUAGGCUAGAGUUGAGAGUUGUUGCUAGAAAUUACAUCUGAUUUCUUGGCAGUGAGUUAAUUAAAUGUAUAAAUAAUAAAUAAAAGCCACUCUAUUAGUAAAAGUUUGGGGUGAAAGCUGUUGCUACAACAACUUAAGACUUACCUGCAGGAUGAAUAGAAUCAAUACAGAGAUUGUAAGUAAACCAAUUAAGUAUUGGCUUCUGUUUGCUUCAGUGGCUCUUUCUUAUUCUGGAGUCACAGCCUAAAUUCAAAACAGUGAAGUAUGUAAAAUUAUACUUGGUGAUAAUUAUGGUUCCUUCUACUGUGCAAUCAAAUACACAAACCUUUUUGUGUGAGCCGUAACCAAAUCUUUUAUCUGGUGCGUGUGGUCCAAGUAAUGCUGGAAUUAGUGACUAGAUGUAGUAAAAGAAAUAUACAUCUGUAAUAGCCUGUUCCUAUGAAACAGAAUAAGUACACAGGUAAGUUCUCCAGAAGAGCUCACCCAACUCUCUGAAGUAAGUUUAGAUGUUUAUUUUCCACUUGCAGCCGUUCUAGUUAAUGUAAUUAAUGCUUUUAAUGCGGUGAGGUUUCCGCAGGGAUUUCAGAGGAAAAAUGUGUUUCUACAGUGGGGACUUACCUAGGAAACUCUUGCAGGAACUGGAAACAAAAGGUCUGGGGAAGCAAUGGCAGCGGUGGCACAAGUACCACUUGGUUCUGUUGCUGCAAAUGCUGGUUUUGAAGUUCAUUGUCAUACUUGUGCCCAUACCUUUGCUGGGUCUCGCUUGGUUAGUAAUAGGGAUGUCAUUCUCCUUGCCUUCCUGAUAGUUUUCUUUGGGGCAAAUCCUUGUUUCUUCCCCAGUAAUGGACUGUACCUUGCAACUGGCUUCUUAAAAUUCCCAGACGAGCAUGGAUUCUGCAAAUUCACUGUUAACACACACUGUCCCUGAGCUCCUGUUGUACAGUUUCAUUUUACCAUUUGUCUUAUCAGAUGUUUGUGUUACUUACAGGAAAAACAAACAAGUCAAGACAUACUGGGACUUGCUAAUGGGUCCAAGAAAGCAAACAAUCUUCUCUUUAGCUAGAAAAAGAAACGUACAGAGGGCAAAAUAAAAUAUGCUGUCUUAUUUUUUAUGGUUUUACUUUCCUCAUUAAGUGUUAUUUGAAGUAAACAUCAGAGCCUCUAAGAGUUCAUUAUUCCCCUCCUGCAUAUAGUUUUUAUUCUUCUGCUUAGAAAAAAAAAUGUUGAUUUGCUAUUUUCUCCCCAAAGAGCCAUUAUGUAACUGCUCCUUUUGUAAUCCCUUGUCUCUUUUCAUAUCUCUUUCUCAGGCAGCCUUGUCUAAGGAUCAGAGUUCAUUUGCCUAUUUAGAGCCUGUUAGAAUUUAAACAUGAAGUGAGUUCUGUCUUGUGUAGCAAGCCCUCUCCAAGGUUGCUCCCUCUGAAUAGCUGGUCAGUAUGUGAUGCUUUAUUGCAUCUGACCUGUGAGACCAGAUGUCACUCUGAUGGAGAACUGCAGAGUGUGUGUGCCCUGAGGCGACAUUUUCAUAACCUUAAGAAAAAUUCAUAACUUAGUGACAUACUCUUAGUUGUCAGAGGUAGUUGAUAGAAAUGCGUCUUGAAAAAAUGAAAUUUGAAAGAUUUAUUGAGGGUUAUGUUCUAUGACCGGUACUGCAGAAGUUAUGAGAAAAUGUUCUGAAAAGCUUAUUGUGAUGUUGCUUUUGGAUAGAACGUGGACAGAAUGGCAAUGUAAAGGCUUGUUAACACCAGUGAAAGCAAUGUUUUAUUUGGAAAGGGAUGGAAGUGAAAGAAACAUGUGAAGACAUGUCUUUAUUACUUUCACAAAAUGAAGUUUGUCAAUGCAAGGAUUCUGCAAUAUAUUUCUAUUUAAGCCUAUAAAUAUUGCACUUCAUUAUGAGCAGUGAGACUCCAUGCAUCAUAGCUUUACAUUGUUAUUAAACAGCAAAAAUGUGCUUACAAAGGCAAAAAAAAAGCUGGAUUGUCCAGCUUCUGGUUUUCAUUUGGAUUACAUUUGUAAAUACUUUUUCUCUACUUUGGAAAUCUUCAUUUUCUAUGUUUACAUAGUUAACUAUUUUAUUAUUCUUUUUACUUGCAUAAAAUGACAAGUGACUUCAAAACACAUGGAGAUUUUUUUACACUUCUGUAGAGAAAUGGAGAAAAUUGGUUGCAUUGAAAUAUUUCAGUUUUACAGAUAAACUAUGGGGUUUUAACAGAUAAACUAUUCUUUUUCCUAUUCUGUCUGCAUUGCACAAUCUGCACAAGUUAGAUAGGACUGAUGCAAAAAUUGUUUACUCUAGGGGAUGUUUAAGAUGUAGAAUGUUUAGAAUGGUAUUUACCUAAAAUAUUAGGAGGAGGAGUGAUGAAAAUUAUGCUUUUAACUAGCAAAGCUUUAUACUGAUAAAACCCUAUGUUAUGGUUUAACCUGAGCUAGCAAUCAAAACCAUAAUAGCUCCUCAUUCACUCCCAUCCACCCAGCCCCAAAUAGGGGAGACAAAAGUGAAGGGUGAAAUUUGUGGUUUGAGAUAAACACAGUUUAAUAAAAUAAUGGUAAUAUACCACCCCUACUAAUAAGAUACAUAAAAUGGAAAAUAGAAUCUAAAGUAAAAGAUACUCAGUGCAAUUCCUCACAAACUCCAUCCACACCAAGCAGCCAGUCCCAGGAAGAGAGAACGCUGGUCCAGAACAGCUGAUCCUGGAGGAAGAGGGAAAAAGGCAGAAAGGCCCAGAGGCCUCUGCAAAACAGCAGGAUGGCAAAUGCCGAACUAAAAGAACUCCUGAACAGAACUCCACCGAAAUGGAGCAGAACCAGAACAGGUCUCCACUCCCUAGCUGGAAAAACUACUCUCCUUAAAUACAAAGCUAAUAGCAUGGAGUAUUCUUGUUGAUCAUUCUGGAUGUAAGUCAAGGUCUGCCCCAUCUAUGCCCCGCUCCCAGCUGCCUCACACCUGGAGGCAGCGAUCUCAGAAAGACCUUGGCUCUCAGACAACAACUAAGAUAACAGUAAGUUCUUAUAUUCUCUUUGUUCCAACUCAAAGACAGAGGAAAGUCACUUGAAGAAAAACAUAUAACUCUGUCCCAGGGUGUUAUCUUCUUGUUCUCAAACUGAAUCCAAACAACAACCACAUUAACUAAAGAAAAAGAAAAUUUUUUAACUGCAUGAAGAAAAUUAAGCUGCUUUCAGUCAAACCAGCACACCCUACUGCAGUUUCUUUUUGCCUAUUUUACUUAUUCUAAUUGAGUAAAUUAUUUAGGCACUGCCAAUAAAAACUGUGUCAGUCCUGAAGGUGUGUUUUCAUUUUGUAGGGAUGACCAAGUGGGGUUAAAUCGUGACAAGCUGGUUGCUUUGAGCAUUUAAAUGUGUACCACUUGACAGAUUAGCCUGGUCUUCUUGACAGGGAAAACACUUCUAAUAUUUUAUGGUUUUGUGUCUCAUCCAGAAAUGUGGCUGGCAUUAGCAAUUAGAGUAAGCUGGAACUUUGUGGGAUUGUACAUUUACAGGAAGGCCAGGAUUAUUCUAUGCUGUAGCCCCAAAGUGGCUAGAGUGGCAAGAGAUAUUUGUGCUUGAUCUCUGAAGUGUUCGUUAUUUAUGGAUUUUUUAUUAUUUUCAUUUCAAAAGUAAAGAAUACCCAUCUUUCAGUCUCUCUUGCAAGUUUCCAGAAUUUGGGUCACUCUAGAUGUCUUUUUUGAAUCCUCAGAUUUCACAGCAGCAUCUUAAGGGUGAUCACUCACACUCAUGAUCUUGCACUUGUAAAAUCUCUGGAGCAUAUUGCAAUGAAGUUACAACCAUGAUGUUCCACCAUAGUAGCAUCCUACUACUGCCAACAGUUGUGAUACUGGGUUGGUUAAAUAAAAUUCUAGUAUGUUACAAUUAUGUUAUUCAAAAGAUGUUUGGAGUUUUGCAAAUAAUUUGUUUGUUGCUGCUCUAUCACACCAAUUGGAAAAUAAUUUUGAUGUUACUGUUUCUUUUUAGUAAAGAAGUUAAAAUCUUUGUAACAGACCUAUUUAUAUAUUAACAGACAUUCCACUGGCACUGACUUUUUUAGAGUCAGUUUUUGGUGGUAACUGGUCUGUACUGAAAGUUCAUAGUGCUCACAGUGAGAGAAGUUAAAAAAAAUAGCAAACAAUUAGAAAAUGUAGCUCAUCUCUAUCUGUUAAAAGACUUUAAUUUGGAAAAAGAAAGAUAUUUCCAUGUUUAAUGACUAGUUAGUGUUACAGAACUCUCACAUAAAUGACAAAUCUUUUUAAGGUGUUUCUCAGCAUAUUUGUAUAGUGUAUGUUUCUAAAAAGAAAAUGUUCUACCCAAUUUCAAAACCCUUGAUCCUUUAAAUAUAUUGUACAAUUGAGUUGACAGAUGAUAUCAUUAAGAUGCCAGGUCUUCUGCAACUAAAAUUAAAAACCUGGUUCUAUUCCAAUGCUUUUCUAAAUACUGUAAAAUUAGUAUGCCUACUUUUGAGUUUGGUAUGUCUCCUGGCAAGGGUUAUGGACCAAAUCAGCACUUGUUGGAAUACAAUGCAGUGUCUCAUCUCCUCUUUUCUAAUUACUCCCCACCCUACAAACUUUUCUGGUGAUUGGCAGAUUCUGUUAUGUUCCCGCAUGGAGAUAAAACCAUGAAUAAUGGAACUGUGCCCCACACUUUUUCAUUUCCUGCAUGUCUUCCUCAUCUACUACAAUGGAACCUAUUUGCCCCAUGGAAAAACUACAUUGAAAUAGGUGUUCAGACUAAGACAGGUUUUACAGGUAAUACAAAUUAUUUCUGGUUCGAUAUUUAUUUCUCAGUUCAAGCGGAUGUGUAGCAAGGUCAUUUUUCUGGGUGAUAACAGCUUAUUCAGAACCAAUACUUCACUUUCCUCAUAGUUAUUGUUUUGUGUUUAUUUGCAUCAAAAUUUGGUUGCUAUUUUAUGGCCAUGUAAUUCAUUAGUGUGAACUUUUGCAGCUCAUUUCAGUCAAAUUUGGUUUUAGUUGGCUCUGAAUAUUUUCAUAUAAUCAGCAAAUUUUGCAUAGUCUUUUUUUUGCUCCUUUUUCAUAUUUUUAUGUAUAUAGAUUGAAUAGCAAAGGUCACAACACAGAUAUUUGUGAAAUGCAGCAGCUUACUUGCUUCUCUUGUAAAACCAGCCACUUACUAAUGCCAGAUAAAAAGUCCAUGUUUACUAAUUUGAUGAAAAAACCUUAUUCAGUGCAGAACUGUGGAUUCCUGUUAUCUUCUUUCCAUUUUGAGGGAGUUUGAAGUCAGAAAAAGCCAGGCUUCUGAGACAUCAGCUCUCCUCUCGUUUAGUGAUGUAUUAGUAUGCCCAAUUAUGACUUGCAGCCUGCCUUUCUGCUGCCGGUAGGAGAUACAUGCCUACAUCCUUCGGUCACACAGAUUAGUCUCCUCAUGCUAAAGUAGCUUUUGCCUUUCAGUUCUGUAAUUUCACGUGCUCACAAUUAAAUCUGCAUUCCAUCCUCUGCUCUCAUUUACUUGCUGACAGAAAAUGAAUAGCAGAAAAAUGUAGUCUGAUGGGCCCACGCAUUAUCGUUCUUUGUAAGUGACAGCACAUAUCCACUUGGGUGCUCAGAUCUUGCAAAAUGCUUAUGCAGCUCUUUCCUGUGUGGGGGCCAGGCUGAGAACCUUGCAGAAACACUGCCCACCAGGUGUAGCUUUGCCAUACUCUUUCUGUUGAUCCCUCUGUAGACUGCCCACCAACGUGUAACUGGCAGUGACUGGACAGCAUGCAGGUGCUUCCCAGGCAUUCCACUGCCAGCAAAAGCAGGUGACACAAGUGUUGAGUUUGAAACACCUUCAUUCCUUCUCAGGCUUAGGAUUGCAGAAGGGCAUGAAGACCAUCAGGCAAUCUGUGAAUUAAUGAAUUUUUUCAUGAGUGAAUAAUGCAUAAACCCAGCUCUUACUGCCAGCAACAAUCCAUGUUGUUUUGUAAUGAAAUAUGCAUUCCUUUUCUAUUUGAAAAAUGGAAAGUACAUUCAUUUUGUAGGUAGUGCAAAAUUUAUGAUUGUCUUAAUUAUUCAUUUCAAUGGGUUUUUUUAAGUUUUUAGGUAUAUUUAAGUGACAGGAUAGAUGGCCACACUGUCCCUUACCAACCCUUGAAAUAAAAUAUGGGAGAUUUGGAACUCUUAAGGCCUAAGCCUUCUCUUUUCCCAGACAUAUCACAUACAAGCUCUAGAGUCUGCAAGCCUGGUUGCACAAAGCAUUUGGACAUUUAAUUCUUACUGAAGUCUUCUAUAAUGAAGGAUCUUAACAGAAGUGAAACCUUUAAAAAUGUUUGAAGAUCUAUGCUUCACCUCCUAAAAGGCAGUGCACAAUGUUAGAGGAUCAGACCUAGCAUGCAAGUUUUUUGUUGCUGUGUCAUGUGCAAAUCAGUUAGAAGCAUUUAUAUUUCUCAGUCUUGUAUAUAUACACCUUUAUAGUCAGUAUUUUAUUUGUGUACUUCGAUGAUGAGGAUUUUUCAAAAAGAACAUUUAUAUUGGUAAUUGAUACGGUGGAACAGAAAUUUAGAUUUAGGAGAAACCAGUAAUAAAUCAUGUUUUAUCAGAUCUGGAUUGUUAUAUCCGAAUGAUAAACAAGAAUAGCUACAUACUGCUUCCAACUUUCUUUCAGGUCUCCUGUAUGAACUCAGCUCUGGGUCCUAUACAUUUGUUUUGUACCAUUUAUAUGCUUUAGAAGUUAUAUUUGUUGAUGACAUUCUAAACAGGACACUUGGAGAAAAUCUGUACUGACUACCAUUUUGAGUAAUCAGAAGGUGAAAUGGAGGCAUGUACGUUGCUUUUAAUUUGGCUUCAGGUUUUCCCAGAGAUAAAUCCUUCAAGUUUGUCUUUCAGAGACUCGUAUCUAAAUGUUUCAAUUUAAAAUACUUGAUAUUUUUGAUGGUCAGUUCUUCGGAGGCUGUGCACCCUGGUUUUGAAACACUCGAUUGCAAACCAAAGGAUACAGCUCUUUCAGCUUGCUGAGCUGUCCCUGCAGCAGCCUGGCACUGCUCUUUUUCCUAAAAUGAAUGGGCUUGACUAUGCAUGCACUUUAACAACCACUCGUUUGAGGCUUAUGCAUGAUGAUUACGGUUAUUUGCCUGAAAUAACUUAGCAAGACAUUUUGCUGGAUUUAGGGGCAUAAGACUGUACUUUAACUUUGUUACUUUGUUACUUUAACAAAGUUAUAUUGCUUUCUGAUUCCAAGUUGCAAACUGUGCACUUUUGGAGUUAGCAAGAUUCUUGGAGCCUGCUUGCACUCCUCCCUCUCCUGCAUUGGACUGCUCUCUGGGCUGCGAGACCCUAGACAGUUGUAGAUUUCUCUGCUCACUUAUUCCUGGACAGCUGAUUUGAUGACAUAAAGAAAUAUAAAACAAAAAUAUAUUUUUUUAUUUUUCUUUUUUUUUUUUAGUUAGUAAUGCUCCUCACUCAAUGUAUUGUCAUGGUAGAAAGGAAGCUGCCCAGUAUUUUGAUAUACAGAUAGUUAAAAUACAGCAAUUAAUGCUGUCACAGAGUAAGUAUUCAACACAGUGUAACCACUAGACUGCAAUGUGCCCUCCCAAGUAGUUUAUUAUUUCCCCUGAAAUCAUAUUUAAAUUCAACCAUAGUCCUGUCUGACACAUCAGUCUUAACAGGCCACACACUUUUCCAAGGCCCUCUUCUGCAUUUAACCUGCUUCAGACAGGGAGAAUUCCACAAAUUACUUAAUUCUCUUUGCUCACAUGCCUCACUGGGAUGGCCAGUGCCAGAAUAUCACUCAUCAGCAUUUUCUUUUAUGUACUUAAUGUUCUGUUAGUGAUUUAAAGCUGAGUUUGACAUUUAGUGCAUAAUGAAUGUCUCGGGGGACACUUUGAGGCUCUGUAAUGAGACUCUUGUUUUCCUGUUCUAUUUUGCUUCAUCUGGGAGGCUUGCUGAUGGUCAGAUUUCAUCCCCUUGUCCGUGAAAGUGUGCUAAACCAGACCCCUGUACUGUUCAACUCCAGCUGUGAAAGGUUUGAUCAACAACUGGUAGCUUUUUUUUACAUCGUCAUUUUAGAGAUUCUCUAGUUGGUUGUUUAUUUAAUGUCUUGAUCGCUUUUCCUCCUUCUCCUCAUAUACACAAUCUCCCUUGUCUCUCCUUGAUUACAGGCUAGUAUUACAAAUGUAAUGACCCUGGGUUUGUACUAUCCUUUUAUCUGUGUGUGUGUGUGUGUGUGUGUGUGUGGCGGGGGGGGGGCGUUUAAUAAUGUACAUUUUUUUCAAAAUUAACUAUGUGCAAAUUUAAGUUAAGAUAAUUCAGUCAGACUGUUUUCUAAUACAUGUUUGGUUUACUAAUGAUCUCAAUUUGGAGGUUCUUUCAGAGAUUUCCCAAGACAUGCUUAGUGAUCUGUGAUUUUUAGCAUAAAAAUAUUAUCAUUUUAAGCAUAAGGUUGAAAUGUCACACACAUUAUUGGAAGUAGAAAAUGUAUUUUCUUAGAACACUUUACAAAAAUCCUUAAGAGAUUUAGCAAAAUUCUUCUGGUAAAAAGAUAAAAUUUUACAGAAUAAUUUAGACUGUAGCUGGGGUUGUGAGAAUCAAACUUGAUUUUUUUGAAAAACGGACAGAAGAGAUAGAGGAGUGUGCCAUUACAACUACUUCUGUAUCCUGCCAUGUUUCGUUUGGGCUUUUUUUGUUUUUUCAGAAGACUCAGACUAAGCACCAACAAAUAGUGACUCACAUAAAUAACCAUUAGAUUUGUGGAUUUGCAGAGAUAAACAGGAGUUCUACAUUGAGCAAAAAUAUUUAACCAUCACAAAGAUAGAACGGGUGACUGAAAACUGCAGGAAUCUUAAGACCUCAGGAUAAAUUAAGGAAAAAUGCAUGAAAGCAAGCAUGUGUUAAGGUCCUUAUCAAAUUAAGUUAAUUUGCAGAAUUAAGUUAGUAACUAAUAAAUUUAGACCAAAUUAUUUCUAUCAAAAAAUGAAUAAACUUGAUUUUUAAAUCAGUGGGGUACGUACUCAUUUAUUAUUUUACAAUAGCGUAUAUCGAAAAUAUAUCCAUCCAGCCUUGCCCUGGAUGUUUUAAGUUUUCUAGAAACCAGAUUGCUUUCUUGUAAGUACAAAACUACUGCUAGAAAUUACUCUUUGACCCUUUCUGUGAAGCUCUUUUUCUGAAUUAGAGAGUUUGCAUCUUUCUGAAAUAAACAAAACAAGCAAAUGUGCUCAGGAGCUACUUUUUUUUUUUGUGAAAAAAAUGAAAUAUGUAUUUUUGUAUUCAGGAUUGUGUGUCAGUACAUGCAUUUUCUAUAAAAAUUCUGAAAUUUGUAGAAUCUGGAAGUGUUACGAGCUACUGAAAAUGUCCCUCUUAUUUAUGAAUUAAAUAGAACUUAGUGGAGUGCCAAAAGCAAGUAGUUCAGAUAUACUACUGUGUCACCAUUGUUGUGUGCAUCAUGUUUCCAAAGGUGAACAUUUUUCUCACUUUCCUCUAAUGCAGAUAAAUCUGACUUUACAGCUUUGUUUUGGAGAUACCUUGAAUUCUGACACCAUUUAGCAAUAGAACCAAGAUCUUACGUGUGAUUAUUAAGGAUACUUAUCAGCUGGGAUACAAGUUAUUAUUCAGGUACAUUGAAACGUUGAAGGAGCACAAACCAAAAAUUGUGUGGGAUGAACAAAUUGCUGAACACUACUUUGAAUACAAAAA
This is an RNA transcript of Columba livia (rock pigeon), 20031 nucleotides long. It is a transcript of the gene named chitinase domain containing 1, with no coding region annotated. The transcript has 12 exons. The record is from RefSeq and is a predicted model, not a curated record. Lineage: Eukaryota; Metazoa; Chordata; Aves; Columbiformes; Columbidae.